RNAcentral lists this ribosomal RNA (252 nucleotides) under uncultured bacterium. Its description in RNAcentral is "partial 16S ribosomal RNA". It matches the Rfam family "Bacterial small subunit ribosomal RNA", at positions 524 to 776 of the family's 1533-position model. The record is from RNAcentral.
CACGUAGGUCCCGAGCGUUGUCCGGAUUUAUUGGGCGUAAAGCGAGCGCAGGUGGUUUAUUAAGUCUGGUGUAAAAGGCAGUGGCUCAACCAUUGUAUGCAUUGGAAACUGGUAGACUUGAGUGCAGGAGAGGAGAGUGGAAUUCCAUGUGUAGCGGUGAAACGCGUAGAUAUAUGGAGGAACACCGGUGGCGAAAGCGGCUCUCUGGCCUGUAACUGACACUGAGGCUCGAAAGCGUGGGGAGCAAACAGG